RNAcentral lists this ribosomal RNA (484 nucleotides) under uncultured bacterium. Its description in RNAcentral is "partial 16S ribosomal RNA". It matches the Rfam family "Bacterial small subunit ribosomal RNA", at positions 28 to 507 of the family's 1533-position model. The record is from RNAcentral.
AUUGAACGCUGGCGGCAUGCUUUACACAUGCAAGUCGAACGGCAGCGCGGGCUUCGGCCUGGCGGCGAGUGGCGAACGGGUGAGUAAUGCAUCGGAACGUGCCCAGUAGUGGGGGAUAGCCCGGCGAAAGCCGGCUUAAUACCGCAUACGACCUGAGGGUGAAAGCGGGGGACCGAAAGGCCUCGCGCUAUUGGAGCGGCCGAUGUCGGAUUAGCUAGUUGGUGGGGUAAAGGCUUACCAAGGCGACGAUCCGUAGCUGGUCUGAGAGGACGACCAGCCACACUGGGACUGAGACACGGCCCAGACUCCUACGGGAGGCAGCAGUGGGGAAUGUUGGACAAUGGGGGCAACCCUGAUCCAGCCAUGCCGCGUGCGGGAAGAAGGCCUUCGGGUUGUAAACCGCUUUUGUUCGGGAAGAAAUCCUCUGGGCGAAUACCCCGGGGGGAUGACGGUACCGGAAGAAUAAGCACCGGCUAACUACGUG